RNAcentral lists this ribosomal RNA (183 nucleotides) under uncultured bacterium. RNAcentral describes it as "partial 16S ribosomal RNA". The record is from RNAcentral.
CCCGUAAGUUAGCCGGUGCUUCUUCUUACGGUACCGUCAUCCACCGCCUAUGUUAGAGGCGGCAGAUUUCUUUCCGUCCGAAAGAGCUUUACAACCCGAAGGCCUUCUUCACUCACGCAGGCAUGGCUGGAUCAUGGGUUGCCCCCAUUGUCCAAAAUUCCCCACUGCUGCCUCCCAGUAGGA